This 302-nucleotide ribosomal RNA is filed under the name Vibrio parahaemolyticus. RNAcentral's name for it is "bacterial SSU rRNA". It matches the Rfam family "Bacterial small subunit ribosomal RNA", at positions 966 to 1267 of the family's 1533-position model. Lineage: Bacteria; Pseudomonadati; Pseudomonadota; Gammaproteobacteria; Vibrionales; Vibrionaceae. The record is from RNAcentral.
GAACCUUACCUACUCUUGACAUCCAGAGAACUUUCCAGAGAUGGAUUGGUGCCUUCGGGAACUCUGAGACAGGUGCUGCAUGGCUGUCGUCAGCUCGUGUUGUGAAAUGUUGGGUUAAGUCCCGCAACGAGCGCAACCCUUAUCCUUGUUUGCCAGCGAGUAAUGUCGGGAACUCCAGGGAGACUGCCGGUGAUAAACCGGAGGAAGGUGGGGACGACGUCAAGUCAUCAUGGCCCUUACGAGUAGGGCUACACACGUGCUACAAUGGCGCAUACAGAGGGCAGCCAACUUGCGAAAGUGAG